UGCAGAAUCCCGUGAACCAUCGAGUUUUUGAACGCAAGUUGCGCCCGAAGCCGUCAGGCCGAGGGCACGCCUGCCUGGGUGUCACGC
This 87-nucleotide ribosomal RNA is filed under the name Celastrus orbiculatus. RNAcentral describes it as "partial 5.8S ribosomal RNA". It matches the Rfam family "5.8S ribosomal RNA", at positions 73 to 154 of the family's 154-position model. From Rfam's summary of the family: 5.8S ribosomal RNA (5.8S rRNA) is a component of the large subunit of the eukaryotic ribosome. It is transcribed by RNA polymerase I as part of the 45S precursor that also contains 18S and 28S rRNA. RNAcentral also lists the same sequence under 1 other name. The record is from RNAcentral. Lineage: Eukaryota; Viridiplantae; Streptophyta; Magnoliopsida; Celastrales; Celastraceae.